This 236-nucleotide ribosomal RNA is filed under the name uncultured bacterium. RNAcentral's name for it is "partial 16S ribosomal RNA". It matches the Rfam family "Bacterial small subunit ribosomal RNA", at positions 118 to 353 of the family's 1533-position model. The record is from RNAcentral.
UGAGCAAUCUGCCCUUCUCAUCGGAAUAAGCGUUGGAAACGACGUCUAAUGCCGAAUACGACCUCCUUUCGCAUGAUCGGAGGUGGAAAGUUCCGGCGGAGAAGGAUGAGCUCGCGGCCUGUCAGCUAGUUGGUGUGGGUAAUGGCCCACCAAGGCGACGACGGGUAGCCGGCCUGAGAGGGUGACCGGCCACACUGGGACUGAGACACGGCCCAGACCGCCUACGGGAGGNAGCG